CUGUAAACAAGUCACUGUACGUAUUCUUAUUUGUGUCAAAAUGUAUUCAAAAAAGAUGCUGAAUAUUAUAUUUAUUAUGGCUGUAUUAUUUAUUUUAGUACGGAGUGGUGUUCUUAUUAACGAGUUUGGACCACCUCAUGGACCGCCUGCUGAGGACACCUUCAUACCUGUCCAUCACUUGGCUGUAGGACUCCACAUGGUGACGCCUCUCGAACCCGUACGUGUCUGUGCUGCUGAGGCAACGUCCAUUGGUUAUUACACAUGGUAAAGAAGAAAAGGGUCAGCUUUCCUCCUCUGUCCACUCUUCUUUCUUUUUAUCAUCCCUCGAUGACAAGCACUGCCUCCUCCUGGCUUGUGUUUCUCUGGCUGGGAGAUCAAAUGCCCUGACUGGUAAGUUUUAAGUUACGUUUAUGGUGAAAAAUAACCAGCUCGGAAGUCAAAACCCUGUGAAUAAAAGAGGGUAUAAAGUCUGUGAUGUUCUUUUGCAUGGUCACUGCAGGUGUAAGUUUGAAGAGCCCUGCUGCAAAUGUUACUUCUCAUAUUACGCUGUUAAAAAUAUUGUCAUAAAGGAAAAACUAUGUCCAUAAAUGCCUCUUACCUGUCA
Long non-coding RNA from Nerophis ophidion (straightnose pipefish), 604 nucleotides. RefSeq lists it as uncharacterized. NCBI's taxonomy places the organism in Eukaryota, Metazoa, Chordata, Actinopteri, Syngnathiformes, Syngnathidae. The record is from RefSeq and is a predicted model, not a curated record. The transcript is spliced from 2 exons.